UGCGCUGUAACGUCCUGUUUACGCUCCCGUCCAGGCUCUUCGACAACACCCAGAAAACAUGUCAGGGAGGCCAAGACUUUGCCGACACUUCCUCACUCGUCGGGGCUGCAAGUAUGGAGAAAAGUGCAAAUUCGUCCAUUCAGAAAGAGAUGAAGUAGCGGUUAAUUAUCAAUGCAAGCCGCAGUAUGUCCAGAAACAGCAGCCCUCACACCAUACACGGCAAGAACAACGCAAACACGACCAUCCACAGCACUAUGCGCAGCAGCAACAUGGGCACAAACACGACCGGACCCAUCACAACCAUCCACGACAAGAGGCACGGCAAUACAAGGUACAACAGAAGCAACUAAAUGCACCGCAGCACACAGCCUCUGAGGAGCCCAUGGACACAUCGGAGCCGUCCAUGGCGUCCAUGCAGUAUGCAUUCACCGAGGACCAACUGCAUGAGCCAAUGGACGAGUCUCCCUAGUCUCGUUUGGCCAUAUACUUCGGCCCCAAAUGUGUCAGCUAUUGUAUUCAUCCAGAGUUAUAUACGAGGUUAUAGUCUGGUUAAGGCCCCCUUAAACAGUUGGGGCCACUACUAUUCUUUGUUUGAGUCAUGGUUUUGAGCAAAAAUAAAAUAAUAUUGUGUGAGUGUA
Molecule: long non-coding RNA, 638 nt
Organism: Sycon ciliatum
Lineage: Eukaryota; Metazoa; Porifera; Calcarea; Leucosolenida; Sycettidae
Exons: 2
Source: RefSeq, a predicted model, not a curated record